Long non-coding RNA from Aedes aegypti (yellow fever mosquito), 535 nucleotides. RefSeq lists it as uncharacterized. The record is from RefSeq and is a predicted model, not a curated record. The transcript is spliced from 3 exons. Lineage: Eukaryota; Metazoa; Arthropoda; Insecta; Diptera; Culicidae.
ACAACACUGUCUCAGGCAAUAUAACAAACGUUCAGACAAGUUUUCGCAUCAGUCCUCAUCUAUCGCUUCAAGAACAGAAACUUCCACAUAAGUAACAGCCUCUUCGAUAACGAUGUCACGCCAAUUAGUAGUCACUGCAUCGAUACUAAUAAUUUUGAACGCAGUCGUGAUCUUAGCGGCUCCAAGAAGCAAAGACGAAAAUUUUCAAGUGAUCGCCGUUCAUAAUGGAUCCAAUUUCGGCAAUAAAUUAAGUGUUAAACGAGCAGUCAACGAUAGAAAACUCUCACAUGCAGGCCAAGAGGUUUCGAUAGUCAAAGGGUUACUAUUCGAAUAUGUCAUACACGAUGGUGUCAGCCAUUCAGGAAAGCAGAAUGGUUUUUAUCCAAAUAUAAACGUUCCCGUCAACACUACAACUUCUCAAUCAGAAGCCCAAGCACCAGUCGCAAGAGUUGCAAGUUCUCCAGAUGUAAGUUUAUGUGUGUUGGAGUCAUUAUGUGGUAGAAAAUAAUAAUCCAGCUCUGGAUCAUUUCUUUAA